GCCAGUGUGGUGUAGUGGUCUAAGUGUUGAACUAGGAUGCCAGAGACCAGGGUUCAAAUCCCCACUCAGCCA
Molecule: non-coding RNA, 72 nt
Organism: Phrynosoma platyrhinos (Desert horned lizard)
Lineage: Eukaryota; Metazoa; Chordata; Lepidosauria; Squamata; Phrynosomatidae
Source: the annotation of a GenBank genome assembly